UGGUGGGCCCGCCGGGAUUUGAACCCGGGAUCUCCCGCGCGUGAGGCGGGCAUCCUAACCGCUAGACUACGGGCCC
Molecule: transfer RNA, 76 nt
Filed under: Vulcanisaeta distributa DSM 14429
Lineage: Archaea; Thermoproteati; Thermoproteota; Thermoprotei; Thermoproteales; Thermoproteaceae
Description: tRNA-Val
Source: RNAcentral